AUUGAACGCUGGCGGCAGGCCUAACACAUGCAAGUCGAGCGGAUGAAGGGAGCUUGCUCCUGGAUUCAGCGGCGGACGGGUGAGUAAUGCCUAGGAAUCUGCCUGGUAGUGGGGGAUAACGUCCGGAAACGGGCGCUAAUACCGCAUACGUCCUGAGGGAGAAAGUGGGGGAUCUUCGGACCUCACGCUAUCAGAUGAGCCUAGGUCGGAUUAGCUAGUUGGUGGGGUAAAGGCCUACCAAGGCGACGAUCCGUAACUGGUCUGAGAGGAUGAUCAGUCACACUGGAACUGAGACACGGUCCAGACUCCUACGGGAGGCAGCAGUGGGGAAUAUUAGACAAUGGGCGAAAGCCUGAUCCAGCCCUGCCGCGUGUGUGAAGAAGGUCUUCGGAUUGUAAAGCACUUUAAGUUGGGAGGAAGGGCAGUAAGUUAAUACCUUGCUGUUUUGACGUUACCAACAGAAUAAGCACCGGCUAACUUCGUG
This 484-nucleotide ribosomal RNA is filed under the name uncultured bacterium. Its description in RNAcentral is "partial 16S ribosomal RNA". It matches the Rfam family "Bacterial small subunit ribosomal RNA", at positions 30 to 507 of the family's 1533-position model. The record is from RNAcentral.